AUUGAACGCUGGCGGCAUGCCUUACACAUGCAAGUCGAACGGCAGCUCGGGUGCUCGCACCUGGUGGCGAGUGGCGCACGGGUGAGUAAUCCAUCAGACAAUGUCCUGUGGUGGGGGAUAGCUCGGCGCAAGCCGGAUUAAUACCGCAUAAGCUGCCCGGCUGAGAGCGGGGCACGUGCGGGUCUCGCCUUCUCAGGUUGGCUGAGUGCUGAUUAGAUCGUUGGUGGGGGAAAGGCCUACCAAGGCGACGCUCAGUAGCUGGUCAGAGAGGACGACCAGCCACACGGGGACUAGGAAUCGGCCCAGACUCCUGCGGGAGGCAGCGGUCGGGAAUUUUGGACAAUGGUCGAAAGCCUGAUCCAGCAAUGCCGCGUGUGUGAAGAAGGCCUUCGGGUUGUAAAGCACUUUUGUCCGGAAAGAAAUCCGUGACUCUAGUACAGUCGGGGGAUGACGGUACCGGAAGAAUAAGCUCCGGCUAACUACGUG
Molecule: ribosomal RNA, 486 nt
Filed under: uncultured bacterium
Lineage: Bacteria
Description: partial 16S ribosomal RNA
Rfam family: Bacterial small subunit ribosomal RNA
Source: RNAcentral